This is a small nuclear RNA of Phacochoerus africanus (Common warthog), 104 nucleotides long. The record is from RefSeq and is a predicted model, not a curated record. NCBI's taxonomy places the organism in Eukaryota, Metazoa, Chordata, Mammalia, Artiodactyla, Suidae.
GCUUUUUAAAUAUCACAUGUACUCAAAUUGGAACGAUACAGAGAAGAUUAGCAUGGCCGCUGUGCAAGGAUGACACGCAAGUUCGUGAAGCAUUCCAUGUUUUU